UUCCCCUAGUAGCGGCGAGCGAAGCGGGAAGAGCUCAAAUUUAUAAUACUGGCACCUUCGGUGUCCGAGUUGUAAUCUCUAGAAAUGGUUUCCGCGUUGGACCGCACACAAGUCUGUUGGAAUACAGCGGCAUAGUGGUGAGACCACCGUAUAUGGUGCGGACGCCCAGCGCUUUGUGAUACAUUUUCGAAGAGUCGAGUUGUUUGGGAAUGCAGCUCAAAUUGGGUGGUAAAUUCCAUCUAAAGCUAAAUAUUGGCGAGAGACCGAUAGCGAACAAGUACCGUGAGGGAAAGAUGAAAAGCACUUUGUAAAGAGAGUUAACAGUACGUGAAAUUGUUGGAAGGGAAACGCUUGAAGUCAGACUUGCUUGCUGAGCAAUCGGUUUGCAGGCCAGCAUCAGAUUUCCGGCAUGGAUAAUGGUAGAGAGAAGGUAGCAGUUUCGGCUGUGUUAUAGCUCUCUGCUGGAUACAUCUUGGGGGACUGAGGAACGCAGUGUGCCUUUGGCGGCCGUUUCGACCUCUUCACACUUAGGAUGCUGGUGGAAUGGCUUUUAACGACCCGUCUUGAAACACGGACCAAGGAGUCU
This 586-nucleotide ribosomal RNA is filed under the name unidentified. RNAcentral's name for it is "Rhodotorula sp. GL1 partial large subunit ribosomal RNA". It matches the Rfam family "Eukaryotic large subunit ribosomal RNA", at positions 75 to 676 of the family's 3401-position model. The record is from RNAcentral.